UGACGAUGACGCAAUCGAAGGAAACUACAGUGUUUCAAGCUUCCAAAGUUUAGUGGAGGAUAAGUCCACUCAUGCCCACACUUUGAAAUUGAGAGAUUAGGAUCGUGAAAACACGAGGAACAUGAAGGUCUUGAUGGGUGAUGGCCAUUUGACUCAAACAAAAGGGCUAUGUCAUGGCUUGGAGGUGGAGCUCGAGGGAGGUAAUUUCAAAUUGGAUGCCCACUUAUUUGAGUUGCAAGACAUCAAAAUGAUACCUGGAAUAUCGUGGCUAGCAUCAUUGGGGGAGAUAUUGGUCGAUUGGGGAGAUCAAGUCAUGAAGAUCAAGAUUCUAGAGGGCAUUCACAUUCUGAAAGGAAUGAUGCAUUCUAAAAAUGUCCCCACAACAUUAAAGGCGAUGAUUGAGGACAAAUCUGAGAUGCAAGGGAAGGACAUGUAUGAACUCUCUCCGAAGCAAAAUGAAUUGAUGCAAAAGUUGUUGGGCCAAUUUGACGCUGUCUUUUAGGACCCCAAGGGACUACCUCUAGUGCGAUCGAAGGAACAUGCAAUCACGUUGCUGCCAGGGGUAGGGCCUGCCAAUGUACGCCCUCGUCAUUAUCCUUAUCACCAAAAAAGUGAGAUAGAAAGACAAGUUUGAGUGUUGUUGGAGGAUGGCCAUAUUAGGCCUAGUCAGAGUGCCUACUCUAGUCCAAUAUUGUUGGUAAAGAAGAAAGAUGCUUCUUGCCAUAUGUGUGUUGAUUUCAAAGCAUUGUACCAGAUAAGUUCCCGAUUCUGAUGACUGAAGAACGGUUGGACAAGCUACGUGGGUUUCAUUUUUUUUAAAGAUUCGACCUAAAAUUUGGAUACUAUCAAGUGAGGUUGAAGGAGAAGGACAUCCCCAAAAUAGCUUUCAAAACCCAUGAGGGCAAUUACGAGUACUUGGUAAUGCCUUUCAAGUUGAUAAUGCACCUUCAACCUUUCAUGCCCUCAUGAAUGAAGUUUUCAGGUAGCAGAUGCAGAAGUAUGUUCUAGUCUUCUUCAAUGACACUUUGAUAUACAGUGUAGAUUGGAAGACUCAUUUGAGUCACUUGGAGGAAAUUUUGGGUAUCCUAAGAUCCCACCAACUCUUCAUUAAUAAAAAGAAAUGCUUAUUUGGACAAAAAAGUGUGGAAGACUUAGGCCAUAUUAUUUUCCAAGAAGGCAUAAGAGUGGACCUAGCAAAGGUUCGGAGUACACAGGAGUGGCCAAUUCCAAAAUAGUAUAAAAGGUGUAUGUGGCUUCUUAGGGUUAUCAAAUUAUUACCGAAAGUUCAUUAAGGAAUAUGGGAGAGUGGCAAGCCCCUCAUGGAUUUGGCGAAGAAAGAUGCAUUUUGUUGGAAUGCAAGUGCUCAACAAGCCUUUGAGGAACUCAAAAGAAGGAUAUUAGCUACUCGUACCAUUUGGAAAGUUGGAGAUGAGGCCACUUGGGAAGAUGAGAUUGUGUUGAGGAGCCAAUUUCCCACUUAAUCUUGAGGACAAAACUGUUGUUGCAGGUGGGGCAGUGAUGAGACUUGUAUAGAGAUGAAGCCCAAAGAACCAUUGGUCCAUUCUUAUUGGGGAAUACGGACCCCACCAAGUGGAAAGUAUACAUGAGAAGAAGGAAGAAAGGCAUAAUUCAAGGAUGCUGAGCUGACAGGAGAAGUAGGGUCAAUCCCUUAAGGCUGUUAGGGGUUGUUAUGGUGAGAGAAAGAGGAAUUCUGUCAUAGGGGGAUGUUGUGAGAGAGAGAGAGAAGAGGGAGAGAAGGUUAUGGGUAUGGAGAAUCAUCUUGAUUUCUUUGUAUAGAAAGCUCUGCUCUAGGAAUUGGAGUCUCACUCCUUUUGUUUCUCCUAUCUUUUCAAUAAUAUCAUAUACCUUUCCAUCA
Molecule: long non-coding RNA, 1876 nt
Organism: Vigna radiata var. radiata (mung bean)
Lineage: Eukaryota; Viridiplantae; Streptophyta; Magnoliopsida; Fabales; Fabaceae
Exons: 2
Source: RefSeq, a predicted model, not a curated record